CAGGAGGUCCCCGAGCCUGACGCAGCAGGAUGGAAUUACCCACGUGGAGGGCUAGAGGCCAAGAUGCUAUAAGAUAUCUCGGAGAGGUGAAGCCACACACUGAGGAGGAGGCUGAAAAGGGGCCGUGAGGACAGCCUCCGGAGCAUUUGAGGUGAGCCAGGCCGGUUGCGAGGAGGGUGUCGGGGCUGGUGCUUUUGAAGAAGCGCCACAGUUAUUUUCUUUGAGUCUCAGACGCCUAAGGUAUGACAGCAGCAGCGUUGGACUCUGGAACAAACAGAUGCCCAAGAGGAGCGUGGCACCCGCAGGCAGACCCUGGUUUUAGCGAAGAUCGGCUU
Colius striatus (speckled mousebird) is the source of this 335-nucleotide long non-coding RNA. RefSeq lists it as uncharacterized. NCBI's taxonomy places the organism in Eukaryota, Metazoa, Chordata, Aves, Coliiformes, Coliidae. The record is from RefSeq and is a predicted model, not a curated record. The transcript has 4 exons.